CAAGGCAACAUAUGCACAUACCCACUGCAGACUGUGAACCACAGAGACUAACAAAGGGGUUCUGCCCUGACAAACACGGAGAGCUACCUGCACAGAAAAUACUUGAACGACUAAAAGCAAAUCAGAGCAUUCAGUUUUAAAAACAAAACUGUCAAGUGUGCCACGUUAGGCUACCGAAUAUGUCAGCCCUCACACACGAGUGAUUUUUCAGCGCUGCCAAUAGGAUCCAGCACGCUCACCCAUUUUGGAUUCUACAAAGUUACGGUAGAGACGUGAUGCAGCCAAUCUCCAGGCUGGGACCUGAAGCGCACAGAACUCAAGAAGAGCCAAGGGAGCAAAUUAACAGCAGUGUGUUCUACAUUGACCAUCUUCCUAUCAUUUCAGAAUGUAUUUUUAAGUGUGUAGGAUGACUCUAACAGUAUUCAAAGUACGUACUUCUCUAAAAUGCCUUGAAAAACCA
Gallus gallus (chicken) is the source of this 460-nucleotide long non-coding RNA. RefSeq lists it as uncharacterized. The transcript has 2 exons. The record is from RefSeq and is a predicted model, not a curated record. Lineage: Eukaryota; Metazoa; Chordata; Aves; Galliformes; Phasianidae.